RNAcentral lists this ribosomal RNA (450 nucleotides) under uncultured bacterium. RNAcentral's name for it is "partial 16S ribosomal RNA". It matches the Rfam family "Bacterial small subunit ribosomal RNA", at positions 354 to 796 of the family's 1533-position model. The record is from RNAcentral.
GUGGGGAAUUUUGGACAAUGGGCGCAAGCCUGAUCCAGCAAUGCCGCGUGCAGGAAGAAGGCCUUCGGGUUGUAAACUGCUUUUGUGCGGAACGAAACGGUCCGGGUUAAUACCCUGGGCUAAUGACGGUACCGUAAGAAUAAGCACCGGCUAACUACGUGCCAGCAGCCGCGGUAAUACGUAGGGUGCAAGCGUUAAUCGGAAUUACUGGGCGUAAAGCGUGCGCAGGCGGUUUUGUAAGACAGGCGUGAAAUCCCCGGGCUCAACCUGGGAAUUGCGCUUGUGACGGCAAGGCUGGAGUGCGGCAGAGGGGGAUGGAAUUCCGCGUGUAGCAGUGAAAUGCGUAGAUAUGCGGAGGAACACCGAUGGCGAAGGCAAUCCCCUGGGCCUGCACUGACGCUCAUGCACGAAAGCGUGGGGAGCAAACAGGAUUAGAAACCCUUGUAGUCC